GAUCCUUACUCGCCCGAUUUGGAGAAGCAUCGACCCGCCGUGUUUUACCUAGUUCUCUGUGUAGGAGUGUUGAAACGCGACGAAAUUUGGCGUGCUAGAUUCGCGACUUCGAGACGAAGAUUCUGAGCCCAAGAUCGCAAUUUUUGGAGCAGGUUCCAGCGUCGACGUUUCGUAUUCUGGCCCGUUCUCUGCGUAGAAGCGUCGGAAUUCAGCGAAACCUGGGCCAUUGGAUUCGUGACUUCGAGACGAAGCUUCAGAACCU
This is a long non-coding RNA of Ananas comosus (pineapple), 262 nucleotides long. RefSeq lists it as uncharacterized. The record is from RefSeq and is a predicted model, not a curated record. Lineage: Eukaryota; Viridiplantae; Streptophyta; Magnoliopsida; Poales; Bromeliaceae. The transcript is spliced from 3 exons.